UUGGGCCUUUCAGGUCCAGCUUGGGGCCCUUGACGUCCACCUGGGGGCCCUUGAGGUCCACUUUGGGCAUCUUGAAACUGGGCAUCUCCACCUUGGGCAGGUGCCCUUUGAGGCCGGCUCCCUCCGGCACAGGGCCCUCUGGGAGUUUCACGUCCACUUGGCCAGCCUGGACCUCCAGGUCAGCAGAAGGGGGCUGUAUGCUCAGGUCAGUGGCCUUGAGGUCCCCCUGCAUGGAGGGGAGGCUCACGUCGGCCUCCACCUUCG
RNAcentral lists this long non-coding RNA (264 nucleotides) under Homo sapiens (human). RNAcentral's name for it is "HSALNT0216743". Lineage: Eukaryota; Metazoa; Chordata; Mammalia; Primates; Hominidae. The record is from RNAcentral.